Molecule: long non-coding RNA, 340 nt
Filed under: Androctonus crassicauda
Lineage: Eukaryota; Metazoa; Arthropoda; Arachnida; Scorpiones; Buthidae
Source: RNAcentral
CUUCAGUUUCAAAAUGGGAAAAAUGCGAGAGCUUAGUUUAGAGGAAAGGAAAAUUAUUAUUCACGUGAAUAAACAGAAUUUGUCACAAAGACGAAUUUCUGAAUUGACUGGAAACCCAUGUUCAGCAAUACAAAGUGUGCUAAAAAGAUAUCAGCAAGGAAACAUAACAAAUAAAUGCAGAUCUGGGAGACUGAAGAUUUUGAAUCAUCAUGAAGAGAACCUUAUUUGACAUCCCAGAGCAAAUCCUGCUGAAUCAGCUAAAGAAAUUUUUUUAAGUGUUACAGCAUUUUCUGGAAAAAAUGUAAGCAUGGAAACAGUUCAUCGAACAUUAUGAAAUAGU